Molecule: non-coding RNA, 894 nt
Organism: Linepithema humile (Argentine ant)
Lineage: Eukaryota; Metazoa; Arthropoda; Insecta; Hymenoptera; Formicidae
Source: RefSeq, a predicted model, not a curated record
ACUAAAAAAGUAGGAAACGAUUAGGACUUUUAAAAGCACCACGUAAAACAGUAUCCAUGGCAAUGACAUUAGCAUUAGCACCAUCAGAAAUGUUUGCAGAAGGCUUAAACCUCAUGCAGACAAUUGCGGAUGAAGAAUCUGAUAAUUACCCUAAUAUAUUGCUCUUUAUGAAAUAUAUGAGAAACACAUGGCUUCCAAUAUCGAAAAAAACAAGUGUAUAUGGAUGCCCAAUUAGAACCAAUAAUUUUGUAGAAUCAUUUCAUAAUAUCAUGGCGCAAAAGAUGCAAACAGUUCAUCCGAAUCUUUGGAUAUUUUUAGAUAAUAUUUCUAAAUUAAUAACAGAUCAAGAAAUCAACUACAAUCGUUUAUUGAACGGUCUACAAAUAACAAGAAAUCGUUGUCGAUUCAAUAAAUAUAAAAAUACAAGGAUACAAGAAGCACAAAAUUUGUUGUGUGUCGAAAGACUACAACGAGAUAUUUUAAUUUAGCAACGCUAUUGUUUAAAGAAUUAGCAAAUAAAACUUUCAAUUCGAAACACGUUCUUAGAAAGACGAAUAAGGUAUUUAAAAUUAACAAAGAUAUUGACCAAUGCUAUUCUUUAAACAAGUAAUUAAACGCUGAGGCGUUAACCGUAUGAGGAAACGAUCGGCGGAUUGCCUCACAAACAAGCGAAGCAGAUCAGCAUUCAAGGAAAAGCAGACGUUGCUAACCUAGAUACUGAUCUGUAUAAAAGAAGGUGACUCGAUUGUCACCACGGGUUUUUUAAGUUUGAUCUAAGCACGAGCUGCACGUCGGUAUCGCGAACUCCGAGUUUGUAUCUUACGCGAUCGUAACGACUGUGAGGAAGCCGUUAAAUAAAGUGUACGCGAGUGCUAAGUGAAUAAAGAUAUUUUA